This 274-nucleotide ribosomal RNA is filed under the name uncultured bacterium. RNAcentral's name for it is "partial 16S ribosomal RNA". It matches the Rfam family "Bacterial small subunit ribosomal RNA", at positions 523 to 796 of the family's 1533-position model. The record is from RNAcentral.
AUACGGAAGGUGCAAGCGUUAUCCGGAAUCACUGGGUUUAAAGGGUGCGUAGGCGGCGUAGUAAGUCAGAGGUGAAAGCUCACAGCUCAACUGUGGAACUGCCUUUGAUACUGUUAUGCUUGAAUUAGGAUGAGGUUGGCGGAAUGUGACAUGUAGCGGUGAAAUGCAUAGAUAUGUCAUAGAACAUCGAUUGCGAAGGCAGCUGACUGGACCUUAAUUGACGCUGAGGCACGAAAGCGUGGGGAGCGAACAGGAUUAGAAACCCCAGUAGUCC